AUGUUUACUGUCGGAGCCCGGGAGGAGGGCGAGGGGGGCUUCGUCAUGCGCCGGUUUCUCUCGGAGACGGGGAAGUGGGACAAAGUGACGGGCUUGCCGUCCCCGCUGCCCGCUGGGCGGAAGAUGGACAUCGGCAACGCCGUGGUGGCCUUCGGCGACCGCCUGUGGUGGAUCGACGACAGCUGGGGCGCCAUCUCCGUGGACCCCCUCAGCGACCGUCCGGAGCUCCGGUCCGUCCAGCUGCCGAGAGGCAACGAGCUCCCUGACCUGAACGGCAUGGCGUCGAUGAGGACAUUGGGCAGCCACCGGCGCAUGGGGGUCAGCGAGGGGAAGAUGCGCUACGUCGAGGUGUCCAAGGAGAAGCCGUAUGUGAUCAGCUUCUUCUCGCUCGACGACGGGGACAGCUCCUGGACGCUGGACCAUGAGACGGCGUUUGCUCCAAUUUGGGAUGAUGCACUCCUCUGUUCGGCACCCUUGGAGCAAAUGCUGGCAAUUGCCGCCAUCAACCCACUGAAAGCCAACAUCGUGUACCUUGCCUGCGGCGACAAAAUUCUUGGCGUCGAUAUGGUUACUAAGAAGAUAACUGGGAUUUCUGGUCUAGCUAUAGCUGUGCCCGAUCUCCCCCUACUACCAUGUGUGCUCCCGACGUGGCUGGAGUCAAGCCAAGUUCCAUCUGCAGGUUGGAGCAAGAAAAACACCCGUAAAAGUGAGGUAUCGCCAAACACUGUCAAAAGGGAGAAUUUGCAUGUCGAAAUAGAACUGUUGAAAUGA
Molecule: ribosomal RNA, 771 nt
Filed under: Triticum aestivum (bread wheat)
Lineage: Eukaryota; Viridiplantae; Streptophyta; Magnoliopsida; Poales; Poaceae
Description: partial small subunit ribosomal RNA
Source: RNAcentral